CCUCCCGGAGUCACCAAAUCCGGAUGGAAUUGAUUAAAAACCACAACUCCCCGCCCGGCCCGUGUCGCGACAGGGCAAGGACCACGACAGAGGAGGUUUUUCCCAGCUGGAUCCGCCUCGAGGUUUGAUCUGCCUCGAGGUUCUCCCCAGCUGGAUCCACCUCGAGGUUUUCCCCAGCUGGAUCUGCUGCGAGGUUCUCCCAGCUGGAUCCGCCUCGAGGUUUUCCCCAGCUGGAUCUGCCUCCAGGUUUGAUCUGCCUCGAGGUUUUCCCCAGCUGGAUCCACCUCGAGGUUCUCCCCAGCUGGAUCUGCCUCGAGGUUCUCCCAAGCUGGAUCUGCCUCGAGGUUCUCCCCAGCUGGAUCUGCCUCCAGGUUUGAUCCACCUCGAGGUUCUCCCCAGCUGGAUCCACCUCGAGGUUCUCCCCAGCUGGAUCCACCUCCAGGUUUGAUCUGCCUCGAGGUUCUCCCCAGCUGGAUCUGCCUCCAGGUUCUCCCCAGCUGGAUCUGCUGCGAGGUUCUCCCCAGCUGGAUCCACCUCGAGGUUCUCCCAGCUGGAUCCACCUCGAGGUUCUCCCCAGCUGGAUCCACCUCGAGGUUCUCCCCAGCUGGAUCUGCCUCGAGGUUCUCCCCAGCUGGAUCUGCCUCCAGGUUUGAUCCACCUCGAGGUUCUCCCCAGCUGGAUCCACCUCGAGGUUUUUCCCAGCUGGAUCCACCUCGUCUCCCCACAGCGCUCGAGGGGUUUUUUAUCCUCGAGAUUUGGGAUGGGGAGUGCAGGAACCCCUCGGGAAAUGCAGCAGCUCCUCGGGAAAUGCAGCAGCUCCUCGGGAAUGUGGCAGUUUUUGUUUUUUUUGUUUUCCCCCUCUCCAGAUGUGCUGCAGGUUUGUGGCACACCGAGAGCUCACUGGUUGAUGUUGUUGUUGUUGUUGGAGACGCAGGGAUCCACCUGGGAGCAGGAGGAGGGUGAGGAAUCCGGCCAGGUGAUCCCAGAUCCACCUGGCCCCUGCCCCGGAGCUGCCGUGCUCACCUCCGUGUAGGUGGGGGGAGGCAUGAACUUGAACUCGGGCGCGUACAUGAAGAUGGGGCUGUCAAAGCCGUCGGGAUCGUCCAGCAGGGGCGUGGUGGGGCUCUCCAGCCGGUGAUCCUCGGGAACGAUGUCCAGGUAGCACGGGGGAGCUGCGGGGAGGGAGGGAGGGAUGGCUGAGCUCAGCUGGGGGGUGGCUGAGGGGCUCCGAGCCCGGCCCAGCCUGAGCAUCCCAGCCCACUCACCCUCGGGAGCGUCGGGGAGGUUCAGGUCCACCCAGCUCAUCUCGGAACUGGUCUGACUGGCCAUGCUGGAGCUGCGGCUGCCGAUGCCAGAGCGGCUCCCGAUCACCAGGGGCAGCUCCAGGAUGAUUUUCUUGGAGCCUGGCACGCUGACGUAGAUCUGCAAAAACAACCGAGGAGGUUCAGGGGAGUGUGGGACAGAACCCCAAGACGAGGAGGAUCAGGAAGAUGAAGGCUCACCUGCAGGAAAUACUCCACCCUGAGGAUGUUGCAGCCCAGGAUGGAGGGUUUGAGCUUCUUCACACGGAUGGUUUUGCCACGCCAGGACUCGGAGGUGCCGGAGAUGAUGUGGUUGCCACGAACGCAGGAGAGUUUUUGGGAGAACACCUUGGUCUGCCCGUUGGCCAGGUAGGUGUGCUUGGCCACGAUGGCUGCCUUGGGCACCACGAUGCGGGAGCAGGUGUUCUCGAAGUCGGCGUUGAUGCAGAUCUCAUCACCUGCACAAAGGGAAAAAACAGCCGUGUUUAGGGGUGCUGGGGGUUCCUCACUGGUUCCCCCCACCCCAAUUCCCUGCUCCCAGCAAUCCUCACCUUCACAGAAGCCCUUCCUGUCGAUCUGGGCGCUGACAGACACGCGUCCAUCCGGGAUGAACAUGCACGACACUUUCUUCUCCUUUUUGGCUGCCACUGGAGACUGUGGGGAGAGGGAACGGUCAAACACUGGCCCCAUCCUGUCCUUCCCACCCUUCCUUCCUCCUUCUCUUCCUUCCCUUUUUGCAACCAAGCCUCAAAUUCCCCUGGAGUACACAACCCGCCCCACCCAGUGUCAGUUUCUGGAAUUAUCCACAACUCCUUAAUCCCACCCUUAAUCCCGCUCAGCCCAAAUCUGAUUAAAGACACCACCAGCUCA
This is a long non-coding RNA of Haemorhous mexicanus (house finch), 2171 nucleotides long. RefSeq lists it as uncharacterized. The transcript is spliced from 2 exons. The record is from RefSeq and is a predicted model, not a curated record. Lineage: Eukaryota; Metazoa; Chordata; Aves; Passeriformes; Fringillidae.